Molecule: ribosomal RNA, 1391 nt
Filed under: uncultured marine bacterium
Lineage: Bacteria
Description: bacterial SSU rRNA
Rfam family: Bacterial small subunit ribosomal RNA
Source: RNAcentral
GAGUUUGAUCCUGGCUCAGAUUGAACGCUGGCGGUAUGCUUAACACAUGCAAGUCGAACGGAAACGAUACUAGCUUGCUAGUAGGCGUCGAGUGGCGGACGGGUGAGUAACGCGUAGGAAUCUGCCUGAUAGUGGGGGAUAGCCCGGAGAAAUUCGGAUUAAUACCGCAUAAUCUAUUCGUAGUAAAGUGGGGGACUUUCGAGCCUCACGCUAUCAGAUGAGCCUGCGUAAGAUUAGCUUGUUGGUAGGGUAAAAGCCUACCAAGGCGACGAUCUUUAGCUGGUCUGAGAGGAUGAUCAGCCACAUCGGGACUGAGACACGGCCCGAACUCCUACGGGAGGCAGCAGUGGGGAAUAUUGGACAAUGGGGGCAACCCUGAUCCAGCAAUACCGCGUGUGUGAAGAAGGCCUGAGGGUUGUAAAGCACUUUCAAUUGUGAAGAAAAGUUAACGUUUAAUAACCGUUAGCCUUGACGUUAACUUUAGAAGAGGCACCGGCUAACUCCGUGCCAGCAGCCGCGGUAAUACGGAGGGUGCAAGCGUUAAUCGGAAUUACUGGGCGUAAAGCGUGCGUAGGCGGUUUAUUAAGUCAGAUGUGAAAGCCCCGGGCUUAACCUGGGAACUGCAUUUGAAACUGGUAAACUAGAGUAUGGAAGAGGAAAGUGGAAUUUCUGGUGUAGCGGUGAAAUGCGUAGAUAUCAGAAGGAACAUCAAUGGCGAAGGCAGCUUUCUGGACCAAUACUGACGCUGAGGUACGAAAGCGUGGGUAGCAAACAGGAUUAGAUACCCUGGUAGUCCACGCCGUAAACGAUGAUAACUAGCCGUUGGGGGGAUUUACCCUUUAGUGGCGAAGCUAACGCGUUAAGUUAUCCGCCUGGGGAGUACGGCCGCAAGGUUAAAACUCAAAGGAAUUGACGGGGACCCGCACAAGCGGUGGAGCAUGUGGUUUAAUUCGAUGCAACGCGAAGAACCUUACCUGGUCUUGACAUCCUGCGAACUUUCUAGAAAUAGAUUGGUGCCUUCGGGAACGCAGUGACAGGUGCUGCAUGGCUGUCGUCAGCUCGUGUCGUGAGAUGUUGGGUUAAGUCCCGUAACGAGCGCAACCCCUAUCCUUAUUUGCCAGCACAUUAUGGUGGGAACUAUAAGGAGACUGCCGGUGAUAAACCGGAGGAAGGCGGGGACGACGUCAAGUCAUCAUGGCCCUUACGACCAGGGCUACACACGUGCUACAAUGGGAAGGACAAAGAGCCGCGAAGCCGCGAGGUGUAGCUAAUCUCAUAAACCUUUUCGUAGUCCGGAUUGGAGUCUGCAACUCGACUCCAUGAAGUCGGAAUCGCUAGUAAUCGUAGAUCAGAAUGCUACGGUGAAUACGUUCCCGGGUCUUGCACACACC